AUACGUCUACACGCAUCGGCGUAC
Molecule: non-coding RNA, 24 nt
Filed under: Arabidopsis thaliana (thale cress)
Lineage: Eukaryota; Viridiplantae; Streptophyta; Magnoliopsida; Brassicales; Brassicaceae
Source: RNAcentral